GAGGGUUUUGGCCAAGUGCUGAGGAAGAAAUCUUUCUCUUGCUUCUUUCUUUGAAGUCCUGGAUUUGAUAUUUUGUUCCUUUUUAUAUACAUUUUCAAUUUUAGAAGAAAAUUUAUGCUAUAAAUGUUUCAUGUGACAAAUAUCAUGCAAAACAUGUUGUAAGGAGUAGAAAACUGCAUGGUCUUCUUAGCCAUCCCUUCUCUGGGAACUGCCCCAUGGUCCAU
This 224-nucleotide long non-coding RNA is filed under the name Homo sapiens (human). RNAcentral's name for it is "HSALNT0297218". The record is from RNAcentral. Lineage: Eukaryota; Metazoa; Chordata; Mammalia; Primates; Hominidae.